RNAcentral lists this small RNA (849 nucleotides) under Pan troglodytes (chimpanzee). RNAcentral describes it as "processed transcript". The record is from RNAcentral. Lineage: Eukaryota; Metazoa; Chordata; Mammalia; Primates; Hominidae.
CCCUACUUCACACAUGUGGUUCACUGUUGCGGGGGUUCGUGGAGUUAUGGUAUCUCUUCAACUGUGGAGAAGGCAUUCAGAGACUCAUGCAGGAGCACAAGUUGCUCGCCUGGACAACAUAUUCCUGACACGAAUGCACUGGUCUAAUGUUGGGGGCUUAAGUGGAAUGAUUCUUACUUUAAAGGAAACCGGGCUUCCAAAGUGUGUACUUUCUGGACCUCCACAACUGGAAAAAUACCUCGAAGCAAUCAAAAUAUUUUCUGGUCCAUUGAAAGGAAUAGAACUGGCUGUGCGGCCCCACUCUGCCCCAGAAUACGAGGAUGAAACCAUGACAGUUUACCAGAUCCCCAUACACAGUGAACAGAGGAGGGGAAAGCACCAACCAUGGCAGAGUCCAGAAAGGCCUCUCAGCAGGCUCAGUCCAGAGCGAUCUUCAGACUCCGAGUCAAAUGAAAAUGAGCCACACCUUCCACAUGGUGUUAGCCAGAGAAGAGGGGUCAGGGACUCUUCCCUGGUCGUAGCUUUCAUCUGUAAGCUUCACUUAAAGAGAGGAAACUUCUUGGUGCUCAAAGCAAAGGAGAUGGGCCUCCCAGUUGGGACAGCUGCCAUCGCUCCCAUCAUUGCUGCUGUCAAGGACGGGAAAAGCAUCACUCAUGAAGGAAGAGAGAUUUUGGCUGAAGAGCUGUGUACUCCUCCAGAUCCUGGUGCUGCUUUUGUGGUGGUAGAAUGUCCAGAUGAAAGCUUCAUUCAACCCAUCUGUGAGAAUGCCACCUUUCAGAGGUACCAAGGAAAGGCAGAUGCCCCCGUGGCCUUGGUGGUUCACAUGGCCCCAGAAUCUGUGCUUGUGGA